GACGAACGCUGGCGGCGUGCCUAAUACAUGCAAGUCGAACGAGAGCGACCGGUGCUUGCACUGGUCAAUCUAGUGGCGAACGGGUGAGUAACACGUGGGUAACCUGCCCAUCAGAGGGGGAUAACAUCCGGAAACGGAUGCUAAAACCGCAUAGGUCUUCGAGCCGCAUGGCUUGAAGAGGAAAAGAGGCGCACGCUUCUGCUGAUGGAUGGACCCGCGGUGCAUUAGCUAGUUAGUGAGGUAACGGCUCACCAAGGCCGUGAUGCAUAGCCGACCUGAGAGGGUGAUCGGCCACAUUGGGACUGAGACACGGCCCAAACUCCUACGGGAGGCAGCAGUAGGGAAUCUUCCGCAAUGGACGCAAGUCUGACGGAGCAACGCCGCGUGAGUGAAGAAGGUUUUCGGAUCGUAAAACUCUGUUGUUAGAGAAGAACAAGUGCUAGAGUAACUGUUAGCGCCUUGACGGUAUCUAACCAGAAAGCCACGGCUAACUACGUG
RNAcentral lists this ribosomal RNA (498 nucleotides) under uncultured bacterium. RNAcentral describes it as "partial 16S ribosomal RNA". It matches the Rfam family "Bacterial small subunit ribosomal RNA", at positions 28 to 507 of the family's 1533-position model. The record is from RNAcentral.